AUACGGAGGGUCCAAGCGUUAUCCGGAUUCAUUGGGUUUAAAGGGUCCGCAGGCGGGAAAAUAAGUCAGUGGUGAAAGCCUACAGCUCAACUGUAGAACUGCCAUUGAUACUGUUUUUCUUGAGUAUAGAUGAAGUGGGCGGAAUAUAUCAUGUGGCGGUGAAAUGCAUAGAUAUGAUAUAGAACACCGAUUGCGAAGGCAGCUCACUAAACUAUUACUGACGCUCAGGGACGAAAGCGUGGGGAGCGAACAGGAUUAGAAACCCUAGUAGUCC
RNAcentral lists this ribosomal RNA (274 nucleotides) under uncultured bacterium. RNAcentral describes it as "partial 16S ribosomal RNA". It matches the Rfam family "Bacterial small subunit ribosomal RNA", at positions 523 to 796 of the family's 1533-position model. The record is from RNAcentral.